AUUGAACGCUGGCGGCAGGCCUAACACAUGCCAGUCGAGCGGAUGAAGGGAGCUUGCUCCUGGAUUCAGCGGCGGACGGGUGAGUAAUGCCUAGGAAUCUGCCUGGUAGUGGGGGAUAACGUCCGGAAACGGGCGCUAAUACCGCAUACGUCCUGAGGGAGAAAGUGGGGGAUCUUCGGACCUCACGCUAUCAGAUGAGCCUAGGUCGGAUUAGCUAGUUGGUGGGGUAAAGGCCUACCAAGGCGACGAUCCGUAACUGGUCUGAGAGGAUGAUCAGUCACACUGGAACUGAGACACGGUCCAGACUCCUACGGGAGGCAGCAGUGGGGAAUAUUGGACAAUGGGCGAAAGCCCGAUCCAGCCAUGCCGCGUGUGUGAAGAAGGUCUUCGGAUUGUAAAGCACUUUAAGUUGGGAGGAAGGGCAGUAAGUUAAUACCUUGCUGUUUUGACGUUACCAACAGAAUAAGCACCGGCUAACUUCGUG
RNAcentral lists this ribosomal RNA (484 nucleotides) under uncultured bacterium. RNAcentral's name for it is "partial 16S ribosomal RNA". It matches the Rfam family "Bacterial small subunit ribosomal RNA", at positions 30 to 507 of the family's 1533-position model. The record is from RNAcentral.